AUUGAACGCUGGCGGCAUGCUUUACACAUGCAAGUCGAACGGUAACAGCACUUCGGUGGCUGACGAGUGGCGAACGGGUGAGUAAUACAUCGGAACGUGCCUAGUAGUGGGGGAUAACUACUCGAAAGAGUAGCUAAUACCGCAUGAGAUCUAAGGAUGAAAGCAGGGGACCUUCGGGCCUUGCGCUACUAGAGCGGCUGAUGGCAGAUUAGGUAGUUGGUGGGAUAAAAGCUUACCAAGCCGACGAUCUGUAGCUGGUCUGAGAGGACGACCAGCCACACUGGGACUGAGACACGGCCCAGACUCCUACGGGAGGCAGCAGUGGGGAAUUUUGGACAAUGGGCGCAAGCCUGAUCCAGCAAUGCCGCGUGCAGGAUGAAGGCCUUCGGGUUGUAAACUGCUUUUGUAAGGAACGAAAAGCCCUCUUCUAAUACAGGAGGGUCAUGACGGUACCGUAAGAAUAAGCACCGGCUAACUACGUG
This 482-nucleotide ribosomal RNA is filed under the name uncultured bacterium. RNAcentral describes it as "partial 16S ribosomal RNA". It matches the Rfam family "Bacterial small subunit ribosomal RNA", at positions 30 to 507 of the family's 1533-position model. The record is from RNAcentral.